This 92-nucleotide transfer RNA is filed under the name Starkeya nomas. Its description in RNAcentral is "Starkeya sp. HF14-78462 tRNA-Gly(gcc)". Lineage: Bacteria; Pseudomonadati; Pseudomonadota; Alphaproteobacteria; Hyphomicrobiales; Xanthobacteraceae. The record is from RNAcentral.
GCCGGAUGCGGCGCUGGCCGCCGGCGCCGCUGCCGCCGGUGCGACCUCGCUGCUGCGGGUGCUCGUGGUGGUCCUGGCCGUCAAGCCGGCGC